CCCUUAGAUGUUCUGGGCGGCCCGCGCACUACAUUGGCACUCUCAAUAAGUUCCUAGAUCUAAAACUUUGGGGUAUUCUAUUAAGUGGUGUCGUGACUGGGAUUAACCCUUGCAAUUAUUGGUUACGAACGAGGAAUUCCUUGUAAUCGCGGUUUAUCAGCCCGCGUUGAAUGCGUCCCUGCCCUUUGUACACACCGCCCGUCGCUCCUACCGAUGAAUCGUCCGGUGAAGUUCAUGGAGUGGUGGUUGUUCCAGCUGCUGUCGAAGUGAAAUGGACCUCACGAUUUAGAGGAAGGAGAAGUUGUAACA
This 309-nucleotide ribosomal RNA is filed under the name uncultured eukaryote. RNAcentral describes it as "partial 18S ribosomal RNA". It matches the Rfam family "Eukaryotic small subunit ribosomal RNA", at positions 1470 to 1796 of the family's 1831-position model. The record is from RNAcentral.